GAUGAAGAACGCAGCGAAAUGCGAUAAGUAAUGUGAAUUGCAGAAUUCAGUGAAUCAUCGAAUCUUUGAACGCACAUUGCGCCCGCCAGUAUUCUGGCGGGCAUGCCUGUUCGAGCGUCAUUUCAACCAUCAAGCCCCCGGGCUUGUGUUGGGGACCUGCGGCUGCCGCAGGCCCUGAAAAGCAGUGGCGGGCUCGCUGUCACACCGAGCGUAGUAGCAUACAUCUCGCUCUGGGCGUGCUGCGGGUUCCGGCCGUUAAACCACCUUUUAACCCAAGGUUGACCUCGGAUCAGGUAGGGAUACCCGCUGAACUUAAGCAUAUCAAUAAGCGGAGGA
Molecule: unclassified non-coding RNA, 336 nt
Filed under: soil metagenome
Description: partial contains 5.8S ribosomal RNA, internal transcribed spacer 2, and large subunit ribosomal RNA
Rfam family: 5.8S ribosomal RNA (bases 1-120)
Source: RNAcentral